This 229-nucleotide long non-coding RNA is filed under the name Panax ginseng (ginseng). RNAcentral's name for it is "long non-coding RNA (PGIN_LNC009306)". Lineage: Eukaryota; Viridiplantae; Streptophyta; Magnoliopsida; Apiales; Araliaceae. The record is from RNAcentral.
AAAGCAUGAUGAGUAGUUAACCAAUCGUUUCCAAAAAUCACAUCAAAGGCAAGUAUUUUCAAAGAGAUAAGAUCGACAGGUAACGUGAAAGUGUUUAUUUGAAUCAAACAAGAUUUAUAAACAGUGGAGGUAACGAAGGCUCCUACUAACGAAGUUUCAACCAAUAAGUCAAAGUCUAACUUUUCCGGAGUCAAAUUUAAACGUUGAACGCAAGCAAGAGAGAUAAAAU